UACGAAGGUGGCAAGCGUUACUCGGAAUUACUAGGCGUAAAGGGCAGGUAGGUGGUUUGGUUAGUCUGUUGUGAAAGCUCCUUGCUUAACGGGGAGAGGUCAACAGAUACUGCCAGACUUGAGUAUGGGAGAGGGAUGCGGAAUUCCAGGUGUAGCGGUGAAAUGCGUAGAUAUCUGGAGGAACACCGGUGGCGAAGGCGGCAUCCUGGACCGAUACUGACGCUGAGGAGCGAAAGCCAGGGGAGCAAACGGG
Molecule: ribosomal RNA, 253 nt
Filed under: uncultured bacterium
Lineage: Bacteria
Description: partial 16S ribosomal RNA
Rfam family: Bacterial small subunit ribosomal RNA
Source: RNAcentral